RNAcentral lists this ribosomal RNA (483 nucleotides) under uncultured bacterium. RNAcentral's name for it is "bacterial SSU rRNA". It matches the Rfam family "Bacterial small subunit ribosomal RNA", at positions 32 to 507 of the family's 1533-position model. The record is from RNAcentral.
GACGACGCUGGCGGCGUGGAUUAGGCAUGCAAGUCGAACGGUAUCAUCCUUCGGGGUGAGAGAGUGGCGAACUGGUGAGCAACACGUAGGUUAUCUACCCUCAAGACGGGACAACCCAGGGAAACUUGGGCUAAUACCGGAUGUGAGCAACUUUUAGUUGUUUGAAAGGUGGCGUAAGCUGUCGCUUGGGGAUGAGCCUGCGUCCUAUUAGUUAGUUGGUGAGGUAACGGCUCACCUAGGCAAUGAUAGGUAGGCGGCCUUAACGGGUGGUCGCCCACACUGGGAUUGAGAUACGGCCCAGACUCCUACGGGAGGCAGCAGUCGAGAAUAGUCUACAAUGGUCGGAAGACUGAUAGUGCGACGCCGCGUGAACGAUGAAUCCCUUCGGGGUGUAAAGUUCUUUUAUAUGUGAGCAGUGCUUCUUAUAUUAACAGUAUGGGGAGAGAGAUAUUAGCAUAUGAAUAAGCAACGGCUAACUCCGUG